UGGGGAAUAUUGCACAAUGGGGGAAACCCUGAUGCAGCGACGCCGCGUGAACGAAGAAGGUAUUCGUAUCGUAAAGUUCUGUCCUAUGGGAAGAUAAUGACAGUACCAUAGAAGAAAGCUCCGGCUAAAUACGUGCCAGCAGCCGCGGUAAUACGUAUGGAGCGAGCGUUGUCCGGAAUUAUUGGGCGUAAAGGGUACGCAGGCGGUUUAAUAAGUCGAAUGUUAAAGAUCGGGGUUCAACCCCGCAAAGCAUUGGAAACUGAUAAACUUGAGUAGUGGAGAGGAAAGUGGAAUUCCUAGUGUAGUGGUGAAAUACGUAGAUAUUAGGAGGAAUACCAGUAGCGAAGGCGACUUUCUGGACACAAACUGACGCUGAGGUACGAAAGCGUGGGGAGCAAACAGG
Molecule: ribosomal RNA, 403 nt
Filed under: bacterium
Lineage: Bacteria
Description: partial 16S ribosomal RNA
Rfam family: Bacterial small subunit ribosomal RNA
Source: RNAcentral